Molecule: long non-coding RNA, 382 nt
Filed under: Apteryx owenii (little spotted kiwi)
Lineage: Eukaryota; Metazoa; Chordata; Aves; Apterygiformes; Apterygidae
Description: lncRNA (ENSAOWG00000012111.1)
Source: RNAcentral
CCAUCUCCUUCCAAGCUCGGCACCUACAGCUGAAACCCAGCUCCGUGUUUGAAGCUGGCCGGGCUGAACCUAUGGUCCCUGCCACCGGCUCCUCCAUCGCGACUCUCGCCCCUGACAGCUACAGCUGAGGCACCGAGCUCUUCUCGAGGAGGCUGGGACGCUAACAUCUGGUGCUGAUCCCCGAGGGGUCUUGGCAGCAGGAUCUACAACACAGAUGUGAAGACCAUUAAUUGUGCAUCACACCUGAAGGCAGGGAGGCAGCAGCUCAGUGUCCAGGGAAAUAGCGCUCUGCUGGAAGUCAUCUGCCUGUCAGAAACUGGCGGGGUUGCGACCUGCGUCCUUGGCAGCACCGUGGAGCAGCUGUGAAGUGCCAGGCAGGCGG